This 40-nucleotide ribosomal RNA is filed under the name Lichtheimia ramosa. Its description in RNAcentral is "partial 5.8S ribosomal RNA". Lineage: Eukaryota; Fungi; Mucoromycota; Mucoromycetes; Mucorales; Lichtheimiaceae. The record is from RNAcentral.
CAACUCUUGGCAAUGGAUCUCUUGGUUCUCGCAUCGAUGA